AGCAGCCGCGGUAAUUCCAGCUCCAAUAGCGUAUAUUAAAGUUGCUGCAGUUAAAAAGCUCGUAGUUGAAUUUCGGGACUAAUAUGUCGGUCGUGCCUCGGUACGUACUGGUUUAUUGGUUUCUCCUUUCUGAAGAACCAUGAUGUCAUUUAUUUGGUGUCGUGGGGAAUCAGGACUGUUACUUUGAAAAAAUUAGAGUGUUUAAAGCAGGCUCACGCUUGAAUACAUUAGCAUGGAAUAAUGAAAUAGGACGUUUGAUUCUAUUUUGUUGGUUUCUAGGAUCGACGUAAUGAUUAAUAGGGAUAGUUGGGGGCAUUAGUAUUCAAUUGUCAGAGGUGAAAUUCAUGGAUUUAUUGAAGACUAACUACUGCGAAAGCAUUUGCCAAGGAUGUUUUCAUUAAUCAAGAACGAAAGUUAGGGGAUCGAAGACGAUCAGAUACCGUCGUAGUCUUAACCAUAAACUAUGCCGA
Molecule: unclassified non-coding RNA, 470 nt
Filed under: uncultured Acaulospora
Lineage: Eukaryota; Fungi; Glomeromycota; Glomeromycetes; Diversisporales; Acaulosporaceae
Description: SSU rRNA
Rfam family: Eukaryotic small subunit ribosomal RNA
Source: RNAcentral